This is a long non-coding RNA of Dromaius novaehollandiae (emu), 6882 nucleotides long. RefSeq lists it as uncharacterized. The record is from RefSeq and is a predicted model, not a curated record. The transcript has 5 exons. NCBI's taxonomy places the organism in Eukaryota, Metazoa, Chordata, Aves, Casuariiformes, Dromaiidae.
UUACGCAGAACUGUACCAUGGAUAAGGCUAGUAGAUACACCAUUCAAUUUUGUAUGGUUCCUAACAGCAGAAACUUUACAAAUCUUUCAGGAUGCCCUAGACAUGGAGGCUGGAAGACCCUGUACGUCUAAUUCCUAGAUCUGAGAUGCCGCUAACUAAAAUGGGCAAUUACUGCUUAAAAGGAGAGAACAAAGAGUGAGCAGGAAUUAUACAAAGAAAAUCUUGACCUUCAAAUAUUUAAGAGUGGAAAAGCUGUUAGAUUUAAAUUUCUCGGUGAGCUACUGACAAUGUUUUCAACAUUCAUUCAUAACUCACAAGAGUUGUAGUAAUUGAAAAUGUAUUUCUUCAAAGAGCUAUCUAUAAGCAAACUCUGAACAGCCAGUUAAAGGCUUCUUCCAAGGGUCCUGUGAGCCAUAUGCUCUACUUCUAAUCUGGCUCCACCAAAGUCACUCCAGUUUACCUCAGCAAGCGUUUGACUGUCUCUACAGUCACACUAAGCUGUGAGAGAUGGAAAGUUACUUUCUCCAAGACUGAUGCUAGCCCCACUGCAGUCAAUGAAAGCUUUCCCAUUUCAUCUGCAAACACAAGCAAGUGCCUUCCCUCUUAGUUGAUGUUUAUCAAGUUUCCAAAUGUUAAAAAUGAAUAUUGGAACAAAACCAAAACAAGCUGGUAUUGUGAUUUGUUGUAAUAUUGACUUUUAGAAAGCCAAGAAUUGCUUGCAUCUAGUGCAUAGCACUGUUUGAGAUGCUGGUUGUUUUCCUGUAUAUUAGGAAUUAUCUGCAGCACCUGAGAUGCCACCAUGAGUAGCAACCAAACCUGAGGUGCCUCUGACAGGAUAGGCAGCCUCCCUGCCCCCAAGGCCUAAUGUGGCCCCCACACCUCUCCCACCUGUGCCUAAGCAGCCAACAGGAACCAGCUGUGUACCAGGCACAGCCCAGCAGCAGGGGAGAGGCUGUCUUAGAAAGCUUUUACAGAAAUUGUGACGGAAACAAAGUAUGGACAAAGCCUGCCUGGCAUGGAGAGCUGGAAGAGGAAAAGGGAAUGUAUUGAAGUUGGCUCUUGCUUUUGAAAGUCUGAAGCCUUAUGCUGUUCUUCUGAAGAAGAAAAGAAAGUGUCUGUGCUGCCUUCAGACGCCAGCCCUGUGGAUAUGUUCUGGCUUUGUGACUCUGCUUCCCCAAACUUGGGCCCUGUGCUGUAUUCCCAUCUUCCUAAACCAAGAAUCUGGACUGCAAUGAAUACCCAGGGCCAUGCUUCACAUCUUCCAAAUCUUUCAUCUGGGGACAUACUCCCUGCCUGAUAGAAGCAGGUGUAGAGCAGGAUGGAGAGCUACAAGUACAGUGCAGCAAGCUGCUGCUUGGACUGCUUGUGGUAACAGUUACUCCUGUGAGGAAGAAGGAGCAAUGCCAGCUGCAGACAGAAGCAUUCUAGAGUGGGACCUGGAAGAGCAGAUGUGAGCAUACAGAAAACAAGCAGACAUGAUGAGCUCUCCACCCAGAUUCUGGAUUUCUGCUUUAACUUGACUGCAGAUUUUGAGCUGGUGGGAGUACAGCUUGAUCUGUUCUAGUUCUCUGAACUCUGGACUACUUGGAGGGAAAUACUGCUCUGUGAUGAACAGGCCAGUCACAUAAGGCCUGGUAUGCAUUUGUUCUAAAGCUGCUUUUCAUUGCUCUGGCAGAAUAAAGGGAUCUUAAGGUGAAUGGUGAGUCCCUACUGUGCUACCACAGCUGUAAAACCUGGGCAUGAUAUAAAAAAAAAAUAGAUCCCUACAGUUUAUCACAGAUACAUUUUUAGCCUUUAUGUGCUGUACUUAUACUAGAAAUACGGUCACAUUCUUUUGAUAGGAAAUUGUGUUCAGCUUUGUAUAUUAAAAAAUAAGGCAUAUUCCUACCAACUGCAGUGGGAACAACCAUCUCUGGUUUUAUCCAGUUAGACCUUCGGGCUUAUGGUAUUGUCAUCAAUGCAGUAGGUGAUUUAAAAUCCAGGAUGUAAUAAAACUCAGAAAACACAUCAAUUCUACUUAAUUCAUUUGAAAUACUUCUUGUCAACUACUGGCUUUGCUGAAGAAAGUGGGGUUUUGCUGUUUAAUAUGGAGGUGUGAGGAUUCUACUCUUCAUUACUAUGUAAUGGAAAAUAAAUGUUUAGUUAAGAAGCAAACAAGUUCGUGUUUUGGACUUCAGAAAAGCAAGCAAGGAAUAACUCAGAAACUGAAGUGAACAAAUUUUAAUUAAAUACCUAAUAUGAAUUAAAUGUCAGUCCUUAAUUUGUAUUUCUGCUAGAUCCACUACAAAAAUGUGUUGUGACCUUUGGCAUAGUUCAGGAGAACAUACAGAAGAGGUUCUUGUCAUCUCUUCUUUCUUAUGUGGGACAUUUUCAAAAAAAUCAGCGUAUGACAGAAAAAUAUGCUAAAAUAUGCCUUUAAUCGUUUCUUCCUUACGCAACAUUGCUUAACGUAGUGGGAUGUUAACAAGGGCCUUCCAUAAGAACAGGAUCAGAACUGUCUUAUAUCCAGACGAUGCAGAGGUGUUUUAUCUCUCAGAAAUAAUAUCCAUAGGAAACCUCAAAAUGAUUUGAUAAAUUAUGCCAUGGUUAAAAACACAAUGAAACCACCAUUCGCAGUCCAAGUAAAAAAGUAUUUUCAUAAGGCACUGGCACAGCAGUGGCACAAAAGGUCAAUACAAAUAAUUCUGCAGGAAAUUCUGACCAUAAACAAUAUUGUUCUUGCCUUACUUUGAUUUCAUCAGUUUGCUGAAGUAGUCACUGUCAUUUCCUUAGAAUGUGAAUUUGUCUUCAUGGUGAUUAAUAUUGGGAAUACUGUGAAUAAUCACACACAGACAGACUAAUACAGAUAGUUAUAAAUACGUACCUGAUUGCAACUAUUCGUUUACUAUAAGCUUUUACCUAACUUGAUCAUUUAAUCAGAUGAUCAUUUUGGCACAUCUGCUUUGAUCUUAUUUAUCAGGUAAUCAUUUUAAAGGAUGCCUUUUUAACUUUACUUUCAGAACAAAGUUUUUAUGUACAUAAAAACAGCUUUUAUGUUGGAACAUUAUGUGAGCCUACAGAAAGAAAUGUUUCAUACUGAUCCCUAAAUUUCUAAAUUCUAAAAGCAGUUAAUAUUUUAUUCUAUAUUUAUUCUCAUAGUAAGGAGGCUUUUAAUAAAGAUUUUAAUUUAUAACAUUCAAUUAAAAACAGGAUGUACUAACUGUCUUAACUAUAAUAUGGCUUUUCAGGUCACAAAUUAGACAGUGAACUUGAAACAAUCUUAUUUAAAACUAAUUUUAUUAACAAUGUACUUGUGAUUAAUUUGCCUGGGUUUAUGUUGCUCCUCUGCUGUGACUAUGUUCACAGUUCCUAACUCUGAGUCAUCUUUAAGUUCUGUGAGUAUGGAGUGAAAUAUAACUGAAAUCUGCUAAUCGUACCACAUUUUGUCACUUUUCUUUCUUUAAACACAGGAAGAGGGAUUCAUAAAAAUUUGAAAUGAGGAAGAGUGUAUCAGAGAGAUCCUGCUGAAGUAAAUGAUUUUUAAGAUGCUGCAAAUAAAAGUUUCAUAGUUUUUUCUUAACAGGAAAAACUGUAUGAACCAUGUAAUUCCACAGUUCUCAGUUUUGGUUCUCUGAAAUUACAGGGCAUGUGAACCAAAAUGAUUCAUUUGAACCUACUUUAUGAACUGGAAAAGGUCAAAGAGAUACAACAGUGAUUCUUCAUUAUGCAGUGCUUAUUUCAGCUUCUUGCUCAAUUCCAAAGCUAGAUGGAAGAAAUAAAGCAGGGUUUUGUUUUUCUGACUUGCAUGUAACUCUGAAUGCUGAAAAUCUUGUCAUACUUUACUGUGUGGCCCUGUUAACUGAAAAGGCAUAGUCAUAGCCGUGGGACAACUAUUAAUAAUAAAGUGAUGUGGUCUAACUGAAUGAGAGUUUCAGAAGUGACAACAAAUACUUAAAGUGAUUUAGAGUAGCCUAAGUCGAGGCAGCAGCUUUCUCAGCUACAGAGCAGGCUGUGAAAAAGUGCCUAAGAAAAAUGUGUGCAUGAAGAAUGCAAGGCCAUGUAUCUUUCAACAGUUACUUGAAUAUUGGUGUGCCAGGGCAAAUUUGACUCUCCAAAGCAAACAAUACAUACAAAUCAAUUUUUUAAAUGAAAUAAAAAUUCCACACAAUCUAACAGUUACUGAAAGGCAAAAAGGUGAAAUAUUUCCGCUAAAAAUAUGGAAGCCUUAACGCCAUUUAGAAGGGCAUUCAUAAAACCUCAUUAGAAUUCAUGUUCCUGUCUGGUCACCCAAUUCUUGAAAGGUUAUGGACCAAAUUCAGAGAACAGCUAUGCCCAGAGGAAUGGAAAGUAUCUUUUAUUUGAGGAGCCUAGAAGAGCACAGUAUAUAUAAUUUCACCAAAUAACAGCUGAAAAUAGCAAUUAUUGGUCUUUAAAAAUACCUGGGGGAUUUAAAAAAAAAAAACACAGUGAGAAAAGAGUUCUGUAAGUUAAAAGAUGAUUUGGCACAAGAACAAAGGGAUGUAGAAGUUCAAAGAUUUCUAGCCAUCAGAGGAGUGUGAGGAUUUUAUGCAUCUUUCCAAUGAAUGAAUGAAGAAGCCUGGUUACAUUCUAUGUCCUUAUAAGGGCUUUUCUGUUUUGGUUUUAUUUUUUUUUAAUAUAGUUUUACUCAUUUGUUUCUAUAGCAUAUAACUAUAUCUAAAAUACAAGCAACACCUAUAAUUGACUAGUGUAUUUCAGAUGCAUACAAGAUACCACAGGGAAUAAGUGCCAGAGAUCGGCUGACUCAAGGAUAUCAACUACGUGCAAGCUCUGAGCUAAGGCAAAUGGAAGUGAUUUGAGUUAAUUCGGAAAAAGGUUAAUAACUUGAAUGAGCUCACAGUUCCCAGCAGCUAAGAGGGUACACACUGAUUAUUAGCAUGAACAACUCAUGGCUGCUUUGUUCCUCACAGUAAUUUGUUCAUGUGUCUAAGUCUUGAGUCAGUGUAAUAAUAAAAAAAGAGGAAAACUUCUGGAAAGAAGUUCAGCAAGACUGUUCAGUCUCUAUACUAAGUAGAGUAAGAGUUUAGGACACUCAUCGUUCACUUUGGUACAUCUUUUUUCUGCAAUUGAUCCAUGACAGUUACUGUUUUAAUUGAAGAAGAAAAUCUUGAAAGCAGCCAUUCUCUAGUGCUCUUGAAAGGAGAGAGAUGUGCUGGAAGAACACCUAGGAAGAUCAGGAACAGGGACUUCCAAACAUUUUGUCUUGUUCUUCCACAGAUCACAAGUGUAUCAAUCAAUAAUAGGGUUUUUUUUUGUCUUGCUAGCUGGAAUAUGGAGAGACAAGAAACUAACGGAUUGUUGCUGCUUCAUGGAUUUUAGAAAACAAGUGCCACAUACGAAAAGAAUCAAAACUGAGCAGGAGUGAGGCAGUAUGUGAGAGUUUGGAAGAGAGCAACUAAACCAUGCUACCAUAGACCUAAAAGGCAGUAACAAAAACUAUGGAAGUAACUGCUUUAGAUGAUAGUUGCAUACUGAACUUUCAUUUCAUUGUGCCAUUGGCAUGGUCUGGCCUUAAAACAACCUUACUUAGGGCAGAUGAUUGUGAGGAAUUGCUUGGUCUAUUAAUUUCCUCAGCUAUUAUGCUGCCACCUUAGCAAGGAAAAUGAGAAUGCUUAUGAAUUUAUGUAGAUCCCAGUGUGUUUGGUUUUUUUAGCUGAGCUAUGUGAAGCUGUAGUAAUUUGACAGAAAUCAGGAUGCCCUCAUAGCUGUAACUUGUUGCAUUUGGACUAGUUUGCACAGAGCAGUCCAAGAUGAGGGGUAUGUAAAUAGGAGCCUUCAGGUACUUUUGCAUACACCAGUUCCAUCCUGGUUCAGAUGAGCAACAUGUCAAAAAUCUAGCUUUAAAAUUUCACCUUAAAUUGAUACAAAUUUUAACUUUGGUUCACACUGGCCAAGUUUCUUUCCCCGAGUGCUGUGACCACUUCAGUCACCAGUGUGAUUUCUAAACACAAAACAGUGCAAAGCCAGACUGCAGAAUAUAUGAAGAUAUAGCCCCACUGUCUGAGGCUGUAAUUUCAUAAGGAACAAAACAGUUUUGUUGAAAUCCAUUCUUGUAACACUAAUUCAGAUGAUAAAUACUUCUUUAAAAUGACAAAAAAAUCACAUCAAAACUGCAGGUAUGCAGAGGACAAAACUCUGUAAGGAGUAUGUACAUUGAAAGCCAUUUGACAUCAAUAAGCCAAAGAAACAGCCAGGGUGGGGGGCAUGGAGGAGAGAAAGAUAACCUAGAUACAGCAGAAACACAGAUUCUGCAAAAUAUAAGGUGAUUACACUGGAAAACACAUACAAGUUCAAGGAAGGGAAGAAAAGUCAGUAACCUGUGUUGCUCAGAGCUAGCACCUUUCCAAAACAGGUACCACUGAGCAGAACUCAAUGCCAAUUUAACAGUGCUGUGUUCCCACAUCUAAGGUGACUCACCUGGAUACCACUGGGUUGUUUCCUCGUAAUCUGCCCAAGGAAUUCAAGAAUGGACUAUACAAUACAUCUAAAAUGUUGCAUUCAUAGCUUACAGCAGUAGCUGAACACACCCCAAAAUAUAUACAUAUGUACAAAUACAUACAUAUACAUUUGUAUUUUUACACACACACACACACACACACACACACACUCUCACGUGUAUGAAGAAACCAGUCCACAUACAUGCAUACAAUUCAGACAGGAUCUAUAGCUCUUGGACUUGCACAGUUUCAAAUCCGCAUGUACAUCACGGCCAGAAAUCAAGAAAGAAAGGAAAAUCAGACAGGUAGAUGUAGAAACGUUACAAGUACUUUUGUAGAGUGACCAUCUCAGGUGUUGGAGGUUUUAUGGCUGGAUUAUCUGUGACCAAGUUUUAGUGCAUUACUACAUAAAUAACCUACCUGAUUG